ACUUGUGGCUAUACCACCAUGACUGCCUGAACUCAACUGACCUCAGAAUUUGAGCAGGAUUGGGCCUGGUUAGUACUCGGAUGGGAGAUACGAUGACUUAUCUGAGUUCAAUCGCUAAGUA
RNAcentral lists this ribosomal RNA (121 nucleotides) under Fukomys damarensis (Damara mole-rat). The record is from RNAcentral. Lineage: Eukaryota; Metazoa; Chordata; Mammalia; Rodentia; Bathyergidae.